Molecule: non-coding RNA, 74 nt
Organism: Hydnum rufescens UP504
Lineage: Eukaryota; Fungi; Basidiomycota; Agaricomycetes; Cantharellales; Hydnaceae
Source: the annotation of a GenBank genome assembly
GGAGGGAUAGCUCAGUUGAUAGAGCACCUGACUGGAAGGCAAAGAGGUCCCAGGUUCAAACCCUGGUUCCAUCA